This 44-nucleotide ribosomal RNA is filed under the name Picipes dictyopus. Its description in RNAcentral is "Polyporus dictyopus partial 28S ribosomal RNA". RNAcentral also lists the same sequence under 2 other names. The record is from RNAcentral. Lineage: Eukaryota; Fungi; Basidiomycota; Agaricomycetes; Polyporales; Polyporaceae.
CUGACCUCAAAUCAGGUGGGACUACCCGCUGAACUUAAGCAUAU